GCUCGGUAGUCGAACCAUUUUGGCUUCAUGCGCCACUGAGCAACCUUCAUAAUACUGAACGGGAGCCCGCCUCCAACGCUGUCUCCAGUACUCUUUAUACAUCAAUGUACGUAGCAAGAAGUUCAAAAUAGUUAAGAAUGCCCUCUUGUGUUGCCUUUAACUGCGUGAAGCGAACAGAUGGGAGAGGAUCCAAGGUUUCUUUGUUCUGUUUUCCACACCAUGAUAAAGCAAGGAUGCGUCGGUGGGUCAGCAACAUAAACCGCAAGAAUUGGAAGCCAUCACCGAACUCACGCAUAUGCGCACUACAUUUCACCGAGGAGUGUUUUCACACUGGCCGUGGGAGAACAAAACUAAAUUCAACUGCUGUCCCAACUAUUUUUGCCUUCCCCGGUGUCAACACAACAUUCAAGACACAGGUGGUAAGUAUGCACCAAGAGGUAAGUGACACUGUUUACUUCGAUCACCCGUACUGCUGCACGGCUGUGAGUAGUCCUUCUACCUCUGGAGGAGUCACAACAUCGACAGAGGUCACCAAUGCAGUGGACUUAAAGUACUGCAGCACGGCUGUGACUACAAAACAAAAGGGCGGCAGUUUCAGAGAAGUGUUAGAUGGUCAUGAGUCCACAGCCCAUCACAAUGUGACACUAGAACAACAUACUGCAGUGAGUAAUACUAUUUCAGCCACUGCUGAAUCUCCCCAUACGCAAUUUACAUGGGCUAAAUUACAUAGUAAAAUUCAGAAAGUGGAAAAACAAUUGGUCACCUGCCGCAAAUGUCUAAAAUUUGAAAAACAGAAGACCAGACGAUUGAAAAAGAGAAUUUUCUGUUUAACUGAAGUUAUCCAAGACCUGAAGCAGAAAAUGAAAAACAUGAGAAAAGAUAAACAGAUAACGACUUCAGUUCCUCGUCCCAAAGGGCAGUCUCACAGCAAGGUCAAGCAGUGAAAAUAUUCUAAAUAUAGUGUACACUUAAACUGACAUUUACUUUUUUUAAGUGGGUCUUUUUUUUAGGUUGUUAAAAUAUGUUUUGUUGCUGUCCCCGUCCACAGCAGUACAUUAUUUAGCUUUCGUGCUGGUACUUCUGUCUGUUUCUCCAAAGUAUGGACGUGCCAACUGCUAUCUACUGUAGGUAACACACUGUCUAUAGAGAAGUACCUCAUGCAACUCCACUUUAAACAAUCAAAACUAUUCCUUUAACCGGGUGACACAUCUUAAUCAGGAUUGGAAAAAUGAAGUAAAUGAAAUCGUGCUGUGCCCAUGGAGGUAUAAUAAGAGGUUGUGUCGUGUGCCUUUGCCCCGCUAGUUAGUAAAUAGCCCACAACUAAUACUACGUUAAAUUCUGUUUAUGUUGUGCUACUAGCUGCAACUAAAACAACUGUAGGGGGAACUUUAUCAUGGCAAACUAAGAAUUUAAAAAAGGCACACCCUCUGCCUAAUCAUAAUGGUCAGCAUUUGUCAAUUUGGUCUCCUCAUAUCCUCUUAGCUGUCUCACACACUUUAAACCUGGUGAUCUGCAAGUCAUUUUGCAGACAGACUGAUAAGACUCUGACACACACAGGAACAAACUAGCGUACACUUACUACUCCCUUUCAGUUGAUUACAUUCAAACCUACCUACUCCAAAUUGCAAUUACUAGUGACUUUGAAUCCAAAUACAGUAUUGCCACAAAUUAAACAUUAUAAUCUACCAUAACAAACAAAAGUAGUCUUUCACAUCAGGGACCCAGGCCCGGAUCCAAGUGCACUUUACUCUGACGGUCUUGAGGACGGUUCAUGUGUACUCUGGUACGGUUCACAUCAGAUGUGAAAACCAACAGUACUAAAAAGUUACAUUGACCUUGUCUCCAAACUAUAAACAAUAUUGGGCAUAAUGCAGUCGACUUAUUUGUGUACGCUUGGGAUCUUGCAAUUUUGGCACACGUUUCUACACCGUAGCGACAACAUAAAUAAAUGUUGAUAGAUAAUAACACAAAGGCUUCAUCCUUUGUGUGACUUGGAGUUUGGAGACCUUAUCUGAAAACCAAUCCAAUCUAUUCUCAUAUCCAAUUAAUUGAAAGCCUUCACAAUUGGCUGCGGUAAUUACGCUGCACAAAGGUGAUACUGAUUCUGUUUCUAAAAGUAACAUGUUAGCUAACUAUGCUACUAAACAAGCCACACUUAACUCAGUCUUUCCUCCAUGAGAUAGCCCAGUUAGGAAAUGGUCCCACACAUGCAAGAAAAAGGGGAAAGAAUUGUGCAAUCGGAACUAGAGCUGCAACGAUUAGUCAACUAAUUGAUUUUUCGAUUGACCGAAAAAGAAUCGGCAACGACUUCGAUAAUCGAUUGAUCGUUAAAGCAAUUUUUCAUCCAGAAAUUGCAGAACAAAACAGAUAUAGAAAGGCUGAAAACAGCAUUUUCUGCCAUAUUACAUGUGAUUAUUUUUAAUCGAUUUAUCGUUGCAGCUCUAAUGUGCGUACCCUUAACAAACCAGAUUUUUAAUGGACUGUCAAAAGAGGAAAAAGGAAAAGAGUCAAUAUAGGUUGUUUUUGUGUUUGGUUUGGUUUGUGGUCCAUUCCAAGUGCUGCUAACCAGGAGAACUGCCCUUAAUGUCGAAGGUAAGCCUGAAUGGAUCUAUGUCACAAGGUGCAAGAGAGCUCCACUCAGGGGAAAUGAGAGCAUGAAGGUGCCAAAAAGUGGUUCUGAUCGGAGGGAUGUUCCCAUGCAGCCAUGUUCCUCCUCCUUAGCGACGGCGGAGCUGAUCUCAUCCAGGAAUUACUAAACGAUAGGAUCACCUGAGUGUGAAGGCCCAGUUGAUCCUAAUACAAACAUGUAUCCUAAUCUUUCACACACUAAUCAGAGUGUUUUGACUAUAGCACCAGUGAAGGACUAGAGAAACCUUACAGAAGAAGUUUGUUACUGGACAUCAGGAGAUCGCAACGAGCAAAAAUUGUUAUGAUACUGCUAAUCUGGCUAUGCUGGUUAUUCGAUGGUACACUUCACAUCACAGCCAGCAACAGAAAUGACCGGCUGACUGUUGGGUAUGUCAACAAUUGCCAACUUCAACUCCAGUUCCAUUCUCCUUUGCAGAUUGGGACUGACUGAUUGGUUUGACUGGUAUGACUGGUUUUACUGGUUUGACUGGUAUGAUUUGGGUGUUUAGUUCAACUAAACUAACCAAAGUUGUUUCCAGGGUAUCACUUAGCUCCUUUCCAAGAGAGAAAGUGUCGCAGGUUAAUCUCUAUCCUCGAACUCACGCAAUUCACAAAAGGAUUGUGUGGCUUUUGUUGCAGCUAAACCUACACAAAUAAAAAAGACAAAGAAAUAGUUCUCAAAGCACCUGCUAAGCAAAUAGUGUCUCGGUGCUCCGGUGACAUUUGCAUUAAAAUAAGGUGCCGCAAAAUCGGGCCCUUUUCUAUGCAAAUGAGCCUCAUUGCAAAAACAAUCCAAUUCACAAAGAUUAGCUCUAGUAGCCACACACAGUUACUGUGAACCUUUUAGUGUCUUUAGAGAGUUGCUGGUCACUGAAGCACAUUUAUAAGGAGUGUCAAUUCAUGGAGCUAUCAGCGGCUGCAAUCCAUUCUUUGUGAAUUCACUCCUGAGUUUUCGCACCCAAUACAGAGGUUAUUUUCAACACGAUCAAACUGAUUCUUGAACAUAAUGAUUGCUCAUCUAAGACAAGCUCAGACCAAUGAGAAGCAACCAGUAUGGCUCUUUUGCUAAGAGUAAAUGCUUUAGUUGAGGUUGUUUUAUGGGCAAUAUGUCAUGUCUAUAAACUACAUAAAUGUAACCUUUACAUUACAGGUCAUCUAGCAGACACUCUUAUCCAGAGCUUACAGUGAACUAACUACAGGGACAGUCUUCCUGGAGCAACAGUCCUUGUCCAAGAGUACCUUGCUCAGAUGGCAAUGGUGGCAGCUCACAACCUUCUGGUGUUGUAUUUGGAAGCCGUACCACUAGACCACUAGGCCAUUACCAACAACCUUGCUUGAUUAUAACAUUUCUGUAAGCUGAGAUGAAAGAAAAUAAAUUGCUUCACACCCUUACAGUGCUAGAUGAUCAAGACUUAUUCUAGGAAUCAUUCUGUUUUUGCAUUAAGUUUUGACCCAACCACUGUACAGUUCAUACACAGUCCAAUAAUGCAAAAUUUAAGAAUAAUAAUUGUUUUGGUAACAUUUAUGUAACUUCUUCAUCGUCCAUUUCCAUGUGUGUAUAUGAUAUGCUGUAGCUGAUUUGGUCCAGGACACGGUGCAAGGCGUAGCUGUAUUGCAUAGCAAGUACAUGUAUUUGAUUCAUAGAAAUUAGGGAUGUCAGUUGAGCCGAUACUUCGGUACAAAGCCCAAGUAAAUACGAUUUUAACAACGUAACGCUUCCCUCAUACUCUUGUCACAGCAUAGGAAAGCACAAUGCUAUCGUACAACUUAGUACGGCUUGUUUUCUGUAACUAGUGUAGCACUAAAACAAAAUCAGCAAGCUGCCCGCUAGUUAGCUGCUACACUGGUUACAGAAAAUGAGCUGGACAGCAUGCUGGGGGCCAGCAGCAACACUGGUACCUUUGUACUACUCUAAUGACUACGGAAAACAGUUCAAUGUCCGUUCUACUCCUAAUUGAUUUGAUCCAAUAGGUGUCCUAAUUGUAUUAUUGGGGCCUUGGGAAUCCUCUAUAGAUUGCUACAGGAAUGAGUCUUAAACCCUUCUUUGGCUCUUAGUAAAUGGGUUUUUUGAAUGUGUUUUGGUUGGUUGGUGUUUGGUUGUGGCGCAUAUUAGUGACUGCAACUCUACAACUCAAGAACGAUUUAUGACCUCAUCCCCCUGUUUAUGGCAACUAUCUCAACAAUUUAUAAAUGGGAAGUUUUGUUUUGACAUGUUGAUUUUAUAGCAAUAAUGAAACUCUGGGGUUUGUGUGGCUGCCCCCCCGUCCUUUCUCCUGAUCCUCACAUAACCCCCCUGCUCCAUACUGACCUGUAUAGAUUUAAUGUUAUUUGCUGUGCAUAAAGAAUACAUAUGCAUAUAUAGAAAUGUAUAUCAAUACCUAUUUGUCAUAAUAAGGAGGUUGACAUCUAUGUCGGUGUAUAACUGUUUUUUGAUUUAACUCAUCAGGUGUUAUUCAGUGGUUGAUAUCAAGUUUGGCACCGUUCUGCAGCUGAGCCCAACAUUCAAAUAUUUAUUUAAGAGAAGUAUGUGAAGUAAGUGAUAUUAACUGAUGGGAGUGGUCAGCGGUUCACACCAGUGACAUCGGACCCCUGGACAGAAGUCUAUAAAACUACAAGCCACCCACAGAUCUCCCUCUUUCUGCUCGUCCUGCUUGUGCUGCUCAUCCUCUUCUGCCUUUGGUUCCCCAGGGCAACCUAGUGGGAUGCUGGGUUGCCAGCAUCUGUUGCACCCUUGUGCCGCCUGAAAGGACGCCUUCAGCUCUGCUGAAUCCCCAACGCACAAACGUGCUAAAGGUCUGCACCCGGAAACUCUUGAAAGAAAGAGACUGUGAGAAAAGACACUCUGAAUCUAACAAGGUCUGGCAAAGCUGCCACAACGACCCCCACUCCAUCCAAAGUGGGGAAGGGGGGGGGGGAUUGAUCUAGCGGCCUGCCGACAGAGAAAAGAUACCUUUAAGCCACGUGGGAGCUGACAAGGUCCAAAGAGCAGAGGUCCAAAAAAGAACCUUCUACCAACUCCCAGGAGCUUCUCAUCAGUCCAUCAGAACUGGGGAAACUAGGCUGGGAUAAUUAAGAAGACCAACAUUUUAAUCUUUUUCAAAUCAGAAUGAAUAUUUCAAUUGCUUCACAAUCUUUCCCAAGUGCUUAUUAAACUCUCAACUGCUGAACGGUGCAUUAAUCUAUUAAAAUUAAAGUAAAUUGGUAAACAUUCAACAAUCAUAUCAGUCACUAAUUCUACCUGGUCACACAUUCUCCACUUUCAUUCGUGAAUUGUUCAUUGUUGCAUUCAUUGUACUCAUUUAUCUACCAUUUAUUCUUCAUUUAUGUUUAUGUUUUGUCGUUCAGUUGUAUAGUUAGUAGUAGUAGUUCAAUAAACCUUUCAUUUAUAAAGAA
Molecule: long non-coding RNA, 6021 nt
Organism: Cottoperca gobio
Lineage: Eukaryota; Metazoa; Chordata; Actinopteri; Perciformes; Bovichtidae
Exons: 3
Source: RefSeq, a predicted model, not a curated record